UUAUGUGAUCGUCUCUCGCAUAUCAAUAAGCGGAGGAAAAGAAACUAACAAGGAUUCCCCUAGUAACGGCGAGUGAAGCGGGAAGAGCUCAAAUUUGAAAUCUUAAAGGGUUUCCCUUUACGAAUUGUAGUUUAAAGAAGUGUUUUCUGUUGAGGUUUAGGUAAAAGUUCUUUGGAAUAGGACAUCAUAGAGGGUGAGAAUCCCGUAUUUGACCUUUACUUUCAACUUUGUGAUACACUUUCAAAGAGUCGGAUUGUUUGGGAAUGCAGUCCAAAAUGGGUGGUAAAUUUCAUCUAAAGCUAAAUAUUGGCGAGAGACCGAUAGCGAACAAGUACCGUGAGGGAAAGAUGAAAAGAACUUUGAAAAGAGAGUUAAACAGUACGUGAAAUUGUCAAAAGGGAAGCGUUUGACACCAGUGUUGUUUUUCUGAAAAUCAAUUAAAGAACUGUUUAUGCUAAGCUGUUUAGACUUUAUCAGCUAUCUGUUUAGUUUUGAGCUUUUCUUUAAUGCACUUUUCAGUUAACAAGUCAACAUCAAUUUCUUUUGCUGUAAAAAAGCUUGAGGAAGGAUGGCUUGAGAUUCGUCUUAAGUGUUUAUAGCCUCUUGCCUAUGCAGUCGGAGAGAUUGAGGUCUGCAGCGUAGAUCCUUCGGGGCUAAAUGCAUUUGUGCUAAGUUAUAGCAUUUUAUAGACAACUUGUUGACUAUGAUUUGUCUUGUAGCUUACUCGCUUAUGUUAUUUUACCUACGCUUAGGAUGUUGAAUCUGUGCGAGACUAC
Molecule: ribosomal RNA, 776 nt
Filed under: uncultured Neocallimastigales
Lineage: Eukaryota; Fungi; Neocallimastigomycota; Neocallimastigomycetes; Neocallimastigales
Description: partial large subunit ribosomal RNA
Rfam family: Eukaryotic large subunit ribosomal RNA
Source: RNAcentral